AAUCAACGCUGGCGGCGUGCCUAACACAUGCAAGUCGAACGCGAAAGCCCCGCAAGGGGUUAGUAGAGUGGCGAACGGGUGAGUAACACGUGGGUGACCUACCUUCGAAUGGGGGAUAACGUCCCGAAAGGGACGCUAAUACCGCAUAACAUCCUGCUCUUGAACGAGUGGAGAUCAAAGCCGGGGAUCGCAAGACCUGGCGUUUGAAGAGGGGCCCGCGUCUGAUUAGCUAGUUGGUGAGGUAACGGCCCACCAAGGCGACGAUCAGUA
This 270-nucleotide ribosomal RNA is filed under the name uncultured bacterium. RNAcentral's name for it is "partial 16S ribosomal RNA". It matches the Rfam family "Bacterial small subunit ribosomal RNA", at positions 32 to 285 of the family's 1533-position model. The record is from RNAcentral.